AUGGGCUGGCUCCCGCCCAGCAGCCCCCACUGGCGCGCCCUCCGCAAGUUGUGCUCGGGGGAGCUCUUCGCGCCGCACCGCCUCGACGCGCACCAGUCCAUCCGCCGAGAGAAGGUGCAGCAGCUCGCGUCCCACGUCGCUCGGCUGUCCCGGGAGGGCGCCGCCGUGGACGCCAGCCGCGGCGUGUUCACCACCGCGUUGAACCUGCUCUCCUGCACCAUAUUCUCAGCGGACAUCAUCGACCUCGACGACAGAGAAGGGACAGGGCAGUUCAGGGCCAUGAUCGCAAGCUUCACGGAGGUCGUCGGGCUGCCCAACCUGUCGGACUUCUUCCAUGUGCUUGUCAAGAUCCGAUUCGAGAGCCUGACCGACAAGAGCAAGUUCGACACGCAGCCGAAGCUCUUCAUCCACCUCGCCCUCGUCCCCGACACUCUCAAUCAUCGACAGCGGCGUCGGCAUGACCAAGUCAGCCAGGAGAUCUCAACGCUCACGGUUUCUCUGUCAACAAACACACUGAAAUUCUAUGCUCCACGGAGGUGCUUAAUUACUCCGACGGAUGGGGCAUAA
RNAcentral lists this ribosomal RNA (567 nucleotides) under Triticum aestivum (bread wheat). Its description in RNAcentral is "partial small subunit ribosomal RNA". Lineage: Eukaryota; Viridiplantae; Streptophyta; Magnoliopsida; Poales; Poaceae. The record is from RNAcentral.